AUUGAACGCUGGCGGCAUGCCUUACACAUGCAAGUCGAACGGCAGCACGGGAGCAAUCCUGGUGGCGAGUGGCGAACGGGUGAGUAAUAUAUCGGAACGUGCCCGGUCGUGGGGAUAACGUAGUGAAAGCUACGCUAAUACCGCAUACGAUCUACGGAUGAAAGCGGGGGAUCGCAAGACCUCGCGCGAUUGGAGCGGCCGAUAUCAGAUUAGGUAGUUGGUGAGGUAAAGGCUCACCAAGCCGACGAUCUGUAGCUGGUCUGAGAGGACGACCAGCCACACUGGGACUGAGACACGGCCCAGACUCCUACGGGAGGCAGCAGUGGGGAAUUUUGGACAAUGGGCGCAAGCCU
This 353-nucleotide ribosomal RNA is filed under the name uncultured bacterium. RNAcentral's name for it is "bacterial SSU rRNA". It matches the Rfam family "Bacterial small subunit ribosomal RNA", at positions 30 to 384 of the family's 1533-position model. The record is from RNAcentral.